This 497-nucleotide ribosomal RNA is filed under the name uncultured bacterium. RNAcentral describes it as "partial 16S ribosomal RNA". It matches the Rfam family "Bacterial small subunit ribosomal RNA", at positions 28 to 507 of the family's 1533-position model. The record is from RNAcentral.
GAUGAACGCUGGCGGCGUGCCUAAUACAUGCAAGUCGAGCGAACGGACGAGAAGCUUGCUUCUCUGAUGUUAGCGGCGGACGGGUGAGUAAAACGUGGAUAACCUACCUAUAAGACUGGGAUAACUUCGGGAAACCGGAGCUAAUACCGGAUAAUAUUUUGAACCGCAUGGUUAAAAAGUGAAAGACGGUCUUGCUGUCACUUAUAGAUGGAUCCGCGCUGCAUUAGCUAGUUGGUAAGGUAACGGCUUACCAAGGCAACGAUGCAUAGCCGACCUGAGAGGGUGAUCGGCCACACUGGAACUGAGACACGGUCCAGACUCCUACGGGAGGCAGCAGUAGGGAAUCUUCCGCAAUGGGCGAAAGCCUGACGGAGCAACGCCGCGUGAGUGAUGAAGGUCUUCGGAUCGUAAAACUCUGUUAUUAGGGAAGAACAUAUGUGUAAGUAACUGUGCACAUCUUGACGGUACCUAAUCAGAAAGCCACGGCUAACUACGUG